UAUCUCUGUAGAGUCUGCAUAUCAAUAAGCGGAGGAAAAGAAACUAACAAGGAUUCCCUCAGUAACGGCGAGUGAAGCGGGAAGAGCUCAAAUUUGAAAUCUUCAAGGUUCUACCUUGACGAAUUGUAGUUUAAAGAAGUGUUUUCUGUUGGAGUUUUGGUAAAAGUUCUUUGGAAUAGGACAUCAUAGAGGGUGAGAAUCCCGUAUUUGACCAUUACUUCCAGCGUUGUGAUACACUUUCAAAGAGUCGGAUUGUUUGGGAAUGCAGUCCAAAAUGGGUGGUAAAUUUCAUCUAAAGCUAGAUACUGGCGAGAGACCGAUAGCGAACAAGUACCGUGAGGGAAAGAUGAAAAGAACUUUGAAAAGAGAGUUAAACAGUACGUGAAAUUGUCAAAAGGGAAGCGUUUGACACCAGUGUUGUUUUCUCGAAAAUCAAUUAAAAAAGGCAGGAUUUUGUGUUGUAUUGACUUUAUCAGCUUUCUGCACUCUUUUCUUGUCUUUUUUAAUGCACUUUUCGUUUAACAAGUCAACAUCAAUUUCUUUUGUUGUAAAAGGGUCAUUGGAAGGUGGCUUUCUUUUCGGAGAAAGUGUUUAUAGCCUUUGGCCUCUGCAAUCGGAGAGAUUGAGGUCUGCAGCGUAGAUCCUUCGGGGUUAGAUACAUUUGUGCUAAGUUAUAGCCUUUCAUAGACAACUUGUUGACUAUGAUCAGUCAUGUAGCUUACUCGCUUAUGCUAUUUUACCUACGCUUAGGAUGUUGAAGAUGUAGCACAUCAU
RNAcentral lists this ribosomal RNA (774 nucleotides) under uncultured Neocallimastigales. RNAcentral's name for it is "partial large subunit ribosomal RNA". It matches the Rfam family "Eukaryotic large subunit ribosomal RNA", at positions 24 to 635 of the family's 3401-position model. The record is from RNAcentral. Lineage: Eukaryota; Fungi; Neocallimastigomycota; Neocallimastigomycetes; Neocallimastigales.